UACGUAGGGGGCAAGCGUUGUCCGGAAUCAUUGGGCGUAAAGAGCGUGUAGGCGGCUCGAUAAGUCUGCUGUGAAAGUCCAGGGCUCAACCCUGGAAGGCCGGUGGAAACUGUCGGGCUAGAGUCCGGAAGAGGCGAGUGGAAUUCCCGGUGUAGCGGUGAAAUGCGCAGAUAUCGGGAGGAACACCCGUAGCGAAGGCGGCACUCUGGGCCGUGACUGACGCUGAGGAGCGAAAGCGUGGGGAGCAAACAGG
This 253-nucleotide ribosomal RNA is filed under the name uncultured bacterium. RNAcentral describes it as "partial 16S ribosomal RNA". It matches the Rfam family "Bacterial small subunit ribosomal RNA", at positions 524 to 776 of the family's 1533-position model. The record is from RNAcentral.